Molecule: non-coding RNA, 15053 nt
Organism: Rattus norvegicus (Norway rat)
Lineage: Eukaryota; Metazoa; Chordata; Mammalia; Rodentia; Muridae
Source: RefSeq, a predicted model, not a curated record
AUGGGACUCCGAGGGACGGUUCUCCCCGCGCUCUGUGCAACGGCGUCCCGAGGGAUGGCGCCCUGGCAGCCAUCUCUGCUGGACGGUCCUCCCCCUGGGACUUCGCCCUGAGGGACUCAUCUCUCCGCGCUCUGACAGAAGCCGGACUUGCAGAUGCACUUGUAUGACCGUGGGGUGUUCUGGCAGAUGGCAUCAAUGUGACAGUGAUCCGUGCCCUCCACACACUCAUCUACAUCUGGCCCGGGCAGAGGAAGACACAUCAGAACAGAACUGGUGUCUCGGGUGAGUUUUGAAGGUGUGUUCCCCAAAGGCAGAGUCCCCGUAUGCCUGUGCAUGCCUGAGGUCCCCUUGCAUCCCUCUGAAUGAUUCAGGAAUUCGAGUGAACCCUCACUGCUCAGAAAUACUCAAACCAUGGUGACAGCUCCACCAUGCGCUGAGACACUCCUCUUCAGUUUGAAUAGCACACACUUGACAUGUCAGACAUAGCCAGCCCAGUGCGGACUAGUUUAUCUUUCUUAGCAGCAGACUUGGAGGGAGAGAGACAGGCACAGAGUCCCUGAUGACGACCCAGUGAGCACUGAUAAUGUUUUUCUAGACCCAUACAGUCCAAGUUGGCCUAGAACUCAUUACAUAGCUGAGGGCGGUCUUCAAUGCCUGCUCCCUCUGCCGCCUGCUCCCCCACCCCAUCUCCCAAAUGCUGGGGUUACAGGCAUGUCCUACCCUGCCCAGCUGCUCUCUAGUAAUUAAGGAAGAAAGGGAGAUGCAGCCUGUCUGGGUCCGCCGGAGAGCACGCGAGUCCUGCCUGGCAUCACGCCGCCUGCUGUGAUCCCAGCACUGGGGUACAGCUGCACACACAAGAACAGAACUGGUGUGUCUCUCUCGGGUGAGUUUUGAAUGUGUUCCCCAAAGGCAGAGUCCCCAUAUGCCAGUGCACACCUGAGGUCCCCUCACCGUCCUCUGAACACUUCAGGAAUUCAAAUGAACUCGGAGACCGGGGCAGAAGGAUCAGGAGUUCUAGGUUAAUGAGACCCUGUCCCAAAAACCUAGGAGAAGAUGAAGCCAGCCCCUGACUGUUCACCACACCCUUGUCCACCAUGGCACCAAGGAGCUUUAGAAGAACAGGGCUCUACUUGGGAAGAUUUCUCUUGGCCCUGAGCUAUCAAUGGAAGGACCAGGAACCUGGCAAGCCUCUCUUCCUCUAUGCCCUCUCUUUCUGGAUACUUGUGUGCCAACACUAAUUGCUUCCUCUAGUCAGUGUGACAGACAGAGCCACACUAAAGGAAGAGGCUCCUCCAGAGGGGGUUGGUCAGGGGGAGGGUGGUGGUUAAGGACGUCCAGGUGUGGUGGCACACCACUUGGGAGGCAGCCUGGCCUAUAGGAGUUCCAGGACUAUACUAAGAAACUGUCUCAGGGAAAAAGUGAAAAAGAAAAAGACUUUAAACAGUUGGGAACAACAUGGAACCCUAAAGAAGUGAUGAAGACGAGGUCUCACUCAGCAGAAGAGGUCCUGGGUGGCGGUUGUUACAUUCAGAACCGCACAGGUGACUACCCAGCCAGGAUACAUGACAGCUCAAACUGGUCUGUCCCAUGAGGCCUUAGGGAUGAGCCUCAACCCAGGCCGCACAGCAGAGCCGACUCCCCUAAAAAUGCCUCAGGCCUCAAAGACUGGACUCAACACAUCUGAUUCUAAUGAGCAGCUGGGGUUGAGAACCUUGUCACAGUCUGAGGAGGAAGAGCCCACAUCUCCCCUACGAACUGGAAAAAGACAGUGUGUGGGUUGAAGUCUGCCAGUAAAGGAGCAUUAGUCUGGGAGCAAGGCUGGUGUGACUCCAGAGCUUCCAAGUGAGGUUCGUCAGAACGCAGAUUCUCGGACCUUGUCGCCCACCCAGUGAAUCCAGCUGCUUAAGGCUCCUCGGCUGAGCAGAGAAGCGUGCCACACACCGGCAAUCUCUGCGGUCUGUAGGUACAGUUCUGAGUAUUAGGAGACCAUCUACACUUACCACCCGCCUCAGCCAAGCUCAGCAGUCACGUGCCUGCCAGGCCAUCACCAAGGAAGAGAAAAGACGGAGAGCAGAGAGCCCCAGCAGUCAAGUACCUAAACCAAGUAAGAGACACCUUGUGGAUGGCAAGAGGCUGUUGGGGGAUGUUUGACCAACUGAUGGAAUGGAUACAAAAGCAAGAAAUGUCCUGGGUCAAUAAGGUGGAGAUGACAGCCCCAGGCUGAGAUCCAGCUCUACCAUUUUUCUGGGGAGGCUUUUUAAGUUUCCUUUUAAAAAUUUUACUUGUAGUACAGGCUGACCUUGAACUCAUGAUCCCCCCCCACCCCCCGCUCCAACCUCCCUAGUGUUGGGACAGCAGGUGCGUGCCACCACACCUGGCUUCUUUCUCAUUUUCCGCCCUUAGAUUCCCACACCCCUCCUCCCCAUACAGGGCAGGAUGGCAGUGCCUCCAAGGCUGUUCACGAGUUAAUCUGUGUGAACUGCCUGAGCAAGUACGUGGGUAAGAGCUUGAGUGGAUGAAGCUGAGGGCUGAGCACUGGGGGAAUCUCGGUCCCUUCGGUCCACUGCGGUGGUAGCCAGGAGCCACAUGUGACCCUUUUCAUCUCAAAGACAGCUCUUCAGUCCCACUACCUUAGGCCAAAUAUUCGUGGUGGGCUGUGCAAUGGGAAACGUCCCCAUGGCACAGAGUUCACAGAACAGAAGAGUUAGCUCUAGGGGUUCUAAGUAAGGAACACUUCUGGGUCUAGCCCAGAAUCAUAGUGACUCCUCCAGAAGUCCCUCUCCCCAACCCUGUCGGUGGCGCCUGUCUCCAUGUGCUGGGUCUUGGCUCUUGAUGCAUCAAGCUCUUCCCUUGGUCUCCCUCAAGUGGCCCCCAGGACCAGAGCAGCGGUGAGGCCAACCACAGCAAGGGUAUUCCUGCUGGCUGCCUCGGGCUCUUCCUAGCCUCAGCCAUCUCCCUAGUCUCAAUGUUUUCUGCUCUGGGAGUUCUGGGAGGUGACCAAACCUGCUCCCACUUUCCUCAGUACCAGCUACUCCCUCAACACCAGCUAACCGAUCCACCACAUAUCACCUUCUUCCCGUUCAUGCUGCAGGCCCAACCCACUUCUGUUUUCCAAGACUGGCUCAGAAUUGUCUGCCCUGACCCCAGUAAGCUCCUGGGCCCAGGGGGACUCCCCUCACCCCCCCACCCCACCCCCGAUUUGCGGUCCCUGCCACUUAGCAAACUCUCUGAAGCUGUCUCAUGUUCCACUUCUCCUGUGGCCGGCAACUGCUGAAGAAGGGACCUUCCAACUGUGUAGCUGACGUUUGCUGUCCUGAGGCACAGAGCAGGGAGACCGGGCCCUAAGUCAUACACUUCCACCUCAGCCAGAUGUUCAAAGCUCCCUCUCGGCACACCUGCCAGCCCAGAAUGAGGCCCCAAAGGGACCUCCGUGGCACACAUCGGCAACCGCGACCUAUCCAUCCUCUUAGAAGCUGUCUACCAGCUGCAAGCCAAGCAACACUUCCGGGCGCGAGUUCGUUUAGGCUAGUGGUCCUCAACUCAGGCUGCGCACUGGGAUCUAGGACCUCUGAAGACCCACGGAGGUCAGACCCAGUAAAUCAGGACCUUUCUCUUCCAACUCAUGUAAAUAAGCUGUUUGCCUGGGCUGGGAGACCCUCUGGAGGCAGCAACAUGACACAGUAAGAGAAGAGGUUCUAAAGUGACCACCACUACGCCAGUCCCCGUGCAGGCUUAGGGCCAUAGUUGAGUGGCCUUGAGCAGCCUCUGAACACACCCGCUCCCCUCCCCCACAAGACCAGUCACAGCACCGUCCUGGGAACUGCCACCAGCAUCAAAUGGGUUAAUGCCCACCCAGCACCGGAUGCCAUGGUGUGUGCACACACAGUGGGUGCUCAUUACUAGCUUGCUGUCUUCUCUCAUCCACUCCAGCAUUCUCUUGGAUGCCUGCUUCAUGUUAACUCGGUGCGAUGAAUUCCUCGAGGCCAUGGCUUCUGAACCUUUGAACCCACCAGAACUGCUGGCAGAGCCGUGCACACUUGAGCACUCAGCAAAUGGCUACCAGGUACCUGCACAAGGGGACUCAGGGGUAACUGGAGAAACUAAAACAACUUCCUGGCCUGGAUUCAAUUCCCGGACUGCACGUUAAAGGAUGAAUGCCUUCAAUGUGGUGGCACUCACUUCUAAUCCCAGAACCUGGGAUGCAGAGGCAGGUGGAUUGCUGAGUUGGAGGCCAGCCUGGUCUACACAGACCCAGGGCAACCUGCUCUACAGAGUGAGUUCUGGCACAGCCUGGGCUACACAGAGAGUCCCGUCCCCAAAACAGACUGUGACACAUAUCUGCAACCCCAACACUCCUACAGCAAGAUGGUUUAGAGGCAGAAUUGACAAGUACAGGGGUUGGCCAGCCUGGGUCUGUGCCAUGAGAUAUCCCAUCUCAGCAGGGUGGCAGGUGAGAACCAACUCUCAGAAGUUGACCUCUGACCUCCAUGUAACACUAGGACACGUGCAGACCCACACUUACACUUAGAUCACACGCGCGCACACACACACACACACACACACCUUUUAAUAAGAAAAAAGAGUUGUGCCUGCAGAGGUCAGAAGAGGGCAUCAGAAGGAACUGAAGUUACAGACCUUUCUGAGCCUCUGCGUGGUUGCUGGGAAUUGAACUCAGGACCUCUGGAAGAGCAGUCAGUGCUCUCAACCGCUGAGCCAUCUCUCCAGCCCCCAGGGAGAUAUUCAUUCUCUGGCCAUUCCUCGGAAGCCUCAACAGGAAAGUCCCUGUCACCCAUCAUGUGAUGGCUGAAAUAUAAAAGGUAAAGAAUCGCCUGUUUGAGAAGCCUCGGAACAUUGCUGCUGCCCACACGGCUCCUAUGCUAGAGUCUGUCUGGCAUGCACGAGAUCCUGGCUUCCAUCCCUGCUGUUGUAAAAGUGAGCGUGGUGGGCCUUGCCAGAAAGUGGAAGGUCAGGGUUCAAGGCCACCCUCAGCUACAUAGUGAGUGUGAAGAGGCACCCUCUCCGACUGAGGUUUUGUGUCUGCUUCAGGGUUCCAUGGAGUCUAAACUGGCCUUGAAGCCACUGUGUAGACCAGGCUAGCCUCAGCCUCCUGAGUGCUGGGAUUAAAGGCAUGCACCACCGGGCUGGUGACCCUUUUAAUUUUACAAACGAGGAGACUGAGGCCCAGAGAGUCUGCCACGGAGAGAAGAUUCAACACUGAAUAGCUGGGGCAGGGUUGGGUAGAGGGGGUUCCGUUGGGGCAGGGCCAGGAAGGGUCAGGAGGUGACAGCCUUCUCUGUGCUGUAGGCAAGGCAUCGUCUUGUAGUACUGGCCUCUCUGAGAUGCAAGGUCUGCCCCAGGCUUAACCAGCCCAAACACAGAGUCCCCUGUCCUCCUGUCCAGGCCAAGUGCCACCUCUACUUGCCUCCGGCUACCCUGCUGAAGGAGGCCUCCCAUCCCUUGGCCCAGGGAAAGUCCAGGACAAUGCAUUCAAACCAAAAACAUCUCUGUCUUUCUCCCCAGAACAAUGGCUGUUAACGAGUGUGGAACUGGAGCAGAGAGAAGUGAAUUCCAGAGGCUGAGGGCCUGCAUUUGUGGGGUACAGGGGUGCUGGGGAGAGCUUUUCUUCACCUUCAGCCACUACCCUUUUCCCCAGAGGCAUAUUCCCAGGAAAAACGCUGGGCCCUGCCCCUCACCCUCUCUGAGGACUCAAGCCUGAAGAGGACUGGCACCCCCUCGCCAGCCUCACCCUGGACACUUGCCACCCACCGGGAAGUUAGCGAAGCCAACCGUUUAAAACAGCUCCCUCCACACCCCCAGCAGGGUAACCCGCUUCCAAGACCUUCCUGCUAGAAGCUCAAGGGUGACCUGGAGGUCAGAUCCCCACUUCCCUUACCCCCGGGAACCCCACAAGCUUAAUCUCUCUCUUUUUGUUUUUUUUUUUGGGGGGGUAGUUGAGACAGCGAGUUCUUGUCGCGAGCGGGAGAUGACGCAUUUUUCUGCAGCCACAAGCCACUUUUGACGGGUCCGCCCCAUCGGGGAGCAACGGAAACCUCGUCCCACCCAGCACGGCUUUUGUCUAUAACGCAUGUUUAUCUUAUUUGGAAGAUUUUUGCGGGUUCUCCAGCGCAUACUGCCCUGAGGGGGACGCAGGCCGCGGAGGGGCGAAGGGAAGGGUAAGAGGCACUCUGAGGGCUCGAUGCCUGGUGGUUACAGCACAUUUAGGGUGGGGGAGAAAUAUCCCCCCCCCCGCCCCCGGCACCCUCCGUGCCCCACAAAGACGCUGGAGACCUAGCCACAUCCCAGGCCUGUCUUUUCUGGGUCUCUCCUCAGUACUUGCUCUGAUGGUCUGGUUUGUUUUGGGCUGACUCUCGGGUAGUCCAGGCUAACCUUGAGCUCACUGUGCAGUGGUAGGGGCCCUUGAACAUCUGAUCCCCCGCUUCCUCCCCCAUGAGCCCUCCCCCAUUCCCGCCUAAGUUCUCCCUUCUUUUCAAAGAUAGGGUCUCAUAGAACUCAGGCCAGCUCUCGCUGUCUCUCUAUAGCUGAAGCUGGCCUUGAACUCUUAAUCCUUCUGCCUCACCUCCCAAGUGCUGAGAGCCUGGAAGCAACCACCUCCUGAAUUUUUUCUCCUAAGAGUUACUUCUUUUAUGUUUGUGUGGGUGUGUACCUGACCGGCUUUAUAUGCGCCACAUAAAUGCAGGUGCCCAGCGAGGCCAGGAGAGGGCGCCAGCUAACCCGGAGUUGGAAUUACAUGUGGGCGUUCGCCACCUGAUGCAGGUGUUGGGAACUGAGUCCAGGUUCUUUGUAAAAGCAGUGAGUUCCCUUAACCACUGAGCUAUGUCCCCAGCCUGUCUCCUCAUAGUUCUGACCGUGGGAAUGUUCUUCCUCAGGUUGAGACCAAACUGGCUGCUUCCUGGCUUGCCCUCAGUACUCUCAUCUAAGCUACAUCAGAAUACUCUAGGGGCUGGAGAGAUGGUUCAGGGGUUGGAGAGAUGGUUCAGGGGUUAGGGACACUUCGUUAUUCUUGCAAAGGACCUGAGUUCAAGCCACAGCACCCACACCAGGCAGCUGACAACUGAACUGCUCAUAACUUCAGUUUCAAGGUGUCUCCCUGGCCUCAGGCACAAUUCUAGUCCCCCCCUCCCCACACACACAAAUCUAUAGUCUCCCACUGAGGCCAUCUUUUUUCUUCCUUGUUUCCUCCCUGCCUCCUUCCUCUUCCCUUCUUUACCCCUCUCUCCCCUCCACCCUUUUAACUUACUGUGUAGCCAAGGCUGAUCUCUAACUCACAAUUCUCCUGCAUCGGAUCCCAUUACAGAUGGUUGUGAGCCACCAUGUGGUUGCUGGGAUUUGAACUUAGGACCUGUGGAAGGGCGGCCAGUGAUCUAACCACUGAGCCAUCUCUACAGUUGGAGCAGUCCUUUAUAUUCUUGGGAGUUCCUAUUGUGCUAGUCAUUAGCGCCCUGUGUCCUUGGUGACCACAGAUUUAGGGUUCCCCUUCCCCUGUUGGGGCCCUCUCUAAACUGUCCCAGUAUCCACAGAAGGCCACAGCCUUCCAGAGGGGCUCCCCAGUGUGUGGCACCUCAGAUCAAGAGAUCAGGGGACAGGAGGGAGAAGGGGGUACAGGAUUGUGGCUUUGCCUGUUUCUAGUUGUACCAAGCAGCCCUCCUCCCUACGUGGGAGCCAUGGGCAUUCACCAUGGAGACCUGUCUUGUUCCCCACACACCUCAAAGGUUGUCUCCCAGCCAUUAGUGUCCAUUUUAAUAUAGCUAUUCAGAGGACUAUCUGAUUGAUGUUUUAGGCCAGAGAGGGUGACUCACUCUGGCUUUUUGGACCAGUGGGAUAUUUUGGGACACAAAGCCUUGCAGCACCCAGCUGGCUCCCCGGCCUCUGUGGAUGAUGGACGGCCUCCAGACCCAAGCACCUUUGCCUAAAGCCAGGUAAUUCUCAAGGGACCGUCCCCUCCAGACUGCAAGCGCACCAUCAGGUCAGACACAGAGCAGAGUGCUUGCUUGCCCUGUGGGUCACAGUCUUUCUUUCUUUAAAAAUUUUAUUUUAUUUUUAAAAGAUUACUAUUUUUUUUAAUGUGCAUGAGUGUUUGCCUGGAGAGAGAGAGAGAGAGAGAGAGAGAGAGAGAGAGAGAGAGAGAGUAUACAAUGCCUACGAAGGCCAGAAGGGGGCAUCAUAUCCCUUGGAAUCAGAUAUAAGGAUGGUUACGAGCUACCAUGUGGGUGCUGGGAACUCUACCUGGGUCCUUUGCAGCCAGUGAGGGCUGGAGAGAUGGCUUAGUGGUUAAGGGCACUAGCUGUUCUUCCAGAGGUUCUGAGUUCAAUUCCCAGCAACCACAUGGUGGCUCACAACCAUCUGUAAUGAGAUCUGAUGCCUCUUCUGGUGUGUCUGAAGACAGCUACAGUGUACUCAUAACAUAAAAGAAUAAAUAUUUUUUAAAAAGCAGCCAGUGAGCCAUCUCUUUAGUACGUCUGUCUGUCUAUCUAUUUAUCAUCUAUCUAUCUACCUAUCUAUCGUGUGGUGUGUGUGUGUGUGUGUGUGUGUGUGUGUGUGUGUGUGUGUGUGUUAGGUGAGUGCACGUGAGUACAGGUCCCCUUGGAGGCCGGAGCUGGUAGUUUUGGCAAUUAGGAGCCACCCACUGUUGGUGCUGGGAACUGAACUUGUGCCAUCACCUGCUCGUCACUGCUCGGGCCACCCCUGCAUCUCUGUCACCACCCCCUACACCCGUGAGGAAUGAGUCGUUCCCAUAGGAGCAAGACGGAGUCUUUAACGUAUUCCUGAGCCAGUCCUGAAAAAGAAAGCAGAGAGAGAGGGGAAGGAAGGAAGGACAGGAGGAAGGAAGGACAGGUGGGCGGGCAGAAGGAGGGGCGGAAGGAAGGAAGGAAGACUGGCUACCUCUGGGUAGCAGAAAGAUGUGAUGUCUUCUUUCCUUUUGCAGCACAGGCUAGUCAUGCUCCUGCCUCAGCCUCCUGAGUACCAGCAGAAUGGAGGGCUUGUCAUCUGUUUUUUUUUAUGUUCCGUGUAUUAUACCGAGGUCCCCUGGGUGAGGGGGAUGGGCACCGAGGCCGAUCCCUCCUGACCACCCUGGAGGCCUCGCUGUGUGUGCUGCGUGGACAGCGUUCUGUAUAUAUGUCUGAGGGAUGAACUGAUUGGCUCCUUCUUAUUUUACCCUCCGGGGAGAUAUCCCAGGUUCUCCUGGUGAAGCUCCGUGACGAUGAGGUGCACGGUGAUUUCACACAGCUGAUGGGAUAUGGCGGGGUACAUCCAUGCCUCCUUGUCCAUGCUUAGUGGUGGGACUCAAACCUACGUCUCAUUGCCUCUUAGGCACUUAACCACUGAAGUACACCUGCCAGUCAACGUCCGAAUCUGUUAACUUAGAGACAGGAAAUCGAGUAUCCCAGGUUGACACGAACCUUGUUAUGAGGUGUGUGCUGUGCUGUGGAUGGAAUCGUAUUGAACCAGUUCCCCAACCACUGAGCUGCAUCUCCGUGGAUAACUUCAGCGGACACAGCCCCUGCUCUUCCGCAGAAGACCUGAAGAAGCAGCCACAAGUUCAGAGUUCAGGAGAAAAGCAUGUGCUGAGCCCCUGAGACUUGGUGGGGGGGGGGGUGUUUGUUACUAGGACGAGAUGCAGAUUCUUCUGACUGAUACAUGCCUUUUUCUGUGCGGCCAGACCAUUUUGCUUUAAGAUCGCUUCAUCUGUGGUGUGUGCAGGUACAUGGGUUUCACGACGCACAUGGGGAGGUCAGAGCGUAGCUCGGUUCCUCCAGUUCACGCACGUGCCCGAAUGCCGAGCGGUCGGUCUUGCUGGCCCCGGAUUAUCAAUUUACAAACCCAGACCAUGACGACUCUCUGUGCCCUCUGCGACAUAAGGGAGUGCAGCUUGGUCGGUCACAUUCCCAAAGCUUCAGAAACAACCGGUCCAACAGAGGUGUCAGAUCAAAGCCAGCUGGACAUGGGGACGUCCUAGCCUUGGGUCCCUGGUGGCGAUGCUCAAAACUGGGGAUCAGCUUGCUGAGUCCUAUAGCCCAGAGCUCAGUUCCUCUGCAAGGAACUACAGGAGAGAAGAGGAGGCCUCAGAGGGCAUGUCCUAGUGUGAUUCCAAUUGCUGGGAUGGCCGCCACGACCCCGAGCAGUUUGGGGAGUGAAGGGUUUACUUGGCUUUUACUUCCGGGUCACAGGUUCACCUCUGAGGGAAGUAGGAGAGGAAGGGCAGGCCCAGUGCCAGGCGCCUUUCUUAGAACCCCAGACCCAUCUGUCUGGGAAUGUGGCUGGGCCCUCCCACCCGAUUAGCAAUCAAGAAGAAAACCCCGCCCACCCGCAGGCGGCUUCCUCUUCUCCGGUGUGCAGACUUGAAAGCCAAGAUAGGCUCUCAGAGGUAAUGUCUGGAUCUUCUGUUUAAAUUGCGCGCGGAUGCGGAUGCGGAUGCGUGCUAAGCUUGAGUGUCUGUGAAAGAGGGUUCACAGGCUUGGAGGCAGAGGCCAUUGUGGGAUGCUGGGUGUGUCCGCCUCUCACCUCGUGCCUUGAUGCCUCCAGGCAGGGUCCCUCACUGAACCAGAAGUUCUCUGCCCAGCCAGCUCCAGCAGUCACCUGGUUCAUCCUUCACAACCUCUGAGGUCUCGUGCAUCCACGCCAGGAUUCUUACCUGGGUGUUGGCGUCCAGAACCAGACCUUCUUGUACAGCAGGCACAGCAAGUGAUCUUAACCACUGAGUAGCUCCCCAGCCCCUGGACCCGGGUUGGAAUGGGCUAUCCCCAAUACCAGCUAGAAAGCUAGAAAGACUAUCUCUGAUUUUUUUUUUUUUUUUUUGGCAGCCCCAGAAACAAGGCAAGGUGAAGACCGUUUUAUUGUCCAGCCAAGGCUCUCGGUGUGGACAGCAGCCUUCUGCAGGGGGUGAACUGGGGCCAUCGAGGCCAUUCAGCUUCUCCUGGGACCUGAGCAGAAAGAAGGAAGAGGAGAGACCUGGAAAAGCCAAGGUCAGCCCUCCUGCAGGGGAGCCAUGACGACAGGGUUGGCUGUGAGCCCUGUGGUCUUGACCCUGGGCAGCCAGACCAUGGUGGCUGAAGUGAAUCCAGAUACACAGCUGGGACAGCCUCUGUGGGUGGAAAUGACAUUACUUGGCUUUAAAUAGCUGUUCUCGGGGACCUCAGAGCCUCAGCUAACCGUGCCUGGUUCCUGGGGACCAGCGUCACUGUUUGCCUAGGUCUGGGAAGAGCUCGGGCAUUUUCCUGCCACACGCCAUCCCUCUCACAGCAGGGCUCUCCCAUGCAUCUUUGUGAGAGGUUGGUUUAUUUCUGGCAUCGGGAUUCGAGGUGACCACAGGUGUGUUUCGUCCUUACAGAGUGGUGCCCACUCGUCUACGGGCAACCGAGAGAGAUUUGCGUUGUCUCUGUAGUGAAAGGGAACAGGCAGGGAUAAGGAGAGAACGAGGAGAAUGAUCCCCCCCCCCACACGGACGAGCCCUACUUGUGUUUUUGACGGUUUGUUUGGGGUUUUAGGUUUUUAUUAAGAUUUCCGGUCCCCGGGGGCUGGGGAUUUAGCUCAGUGGUAGAGCGCUUACCUAGGAAGUGCAAGGCCCUGGGUUCGGUCCCCAGCUCCGAAAAAAAAAAAGAAAAAAGAAAAAAAGAUUUCUUUUUUUAUUAUAUAAGUACACUGUAGCUGUCUUCAGACACAGAAGAGGGAAUCAGAUCCCAUUACAGAUGGCUGUGAGCCACCAUGUGGUUGCUGGGAUUUGAACUCAGGACCUCUGGAAGAGCAAUCGGUGCUCUAAUCACUGAGCCACCUCUCCAGCCCAGAUUUUAGUUUUUUGAGACAGGAUCUCAUGUAGCCCAGGCUGGCCUGGAACUCACUGGAUAGCAAAAGUGAGCUUAAGGCACAGAUCCUCCCACUUUGGCUCUGUCUUUUCCUUACCUUAAAAAAAAAAAAUAGCUUUGUUAUAUUACUGUGGGGAAGCGGCGGGCCGUGGUGGACAUUUGGAAGGCACAGGGCUUCUUCUCACCAUCUACCAAGUAGAUCCUGGGAUAUUGGAUUCCCGUCCUCAGAUUUGACAGCAGGAUUCAUUUACCGGCUGGCCAGUCGGCUUAACCAACCACACAGGUGAGCUCCAGGCUCAGUGGAAAGUAAGGCAGAGCAUGAGGGGUUCCAUUUCAUUUUUCUAUAAAAGGUAUUGUGAGGCUAGCCUGGGCUACAUGAGACUGUGCCUUAAGGAAAAAAAAAACAAACAACCAAACCCAUGAUGGCUCACUGGUUAAAAGCACUUGAUGCUCUUACAGAGAAUCUGAGUUCUGAUCCCUGCAUUCAUGUGGGGCAGCUCACAACUGUCUACAACUCAACCUCACAUGUGUAUGCACACACAGACACACACACCACUAGCAUCUCCUUCAUAAAUAAUAAAAUAUUCUUCUUGUUUUGAGAUGGUUCCUCCUGUAGCCCUGGCUAUCCUAGAACUCACUAUGUAGGCCAGGCUAGCCACAAACUCAACAGAAAUGUGCUUGGCUCUGUCUCCCAAGUGCUGGGAUUAAAGGCACCAUGAUGCCCAGCGUAAAUAAUAAAAUAUUUGAACUAUAUAUCUAUAUAUGUGUAUGUGUUGUGAUAGAUAUAUAGAUACGCAUAUAGAUAUAUGUCCCAGGAAAGGUGUGGAAUGAAGAGAAAGGUCUGUGGUUAACGGUGCUUUCACAGCUCCCAGCUGGAGGAAGAAUGAGUUGGCGUGUUCCGUGGACGGCUGCUAUUCUGCCCCAAGAAUAAAUGGCAGAUACACACAACGGUGUCACAGACGUGAUGCUGAAAAGAAGCUAGAGAGGAAGAAAGCCGUCCUGUGGAGCCAUUCAUGCAAUCUCAAAGCCGGCUUGCCGAAGGAGUUCAGGGGCAAUGCUGGCAGAAUGGCACAUGUCAGGCCAUCGAGGACCCAUCGAGGACCUGGCGGCUUUCCUAAGGAAAGGGGGUUUUCUCAGCAAGAUGGGAAGCGCCCCCCCCCCCGUGUCUAUCAAGCACCGGGAUUACAAGUGUGCUCCACCAGUGUGUGGGGUAUUGGGGAUGGAAGUUCGAGCUCACCACCUUCUCCAUGACUGGAUGACCAUGACUGCACCUGCUCCCGUAAACCUGAAAGGCUCGCCCAUCUGAACUGGAUAGAACCAUGCCUAUAGUCUGUAUUUGGUGCCCUGUCUGGGGUGAAUAGAUCUUUUUUCUGUCCCCACCACAGUCAGCAGAAAGGCCUUAGCAGAGAUCCAGGUGCCUCAGAAGCAGCCAGCAGGUACUGGUUGGUUGGGAUCACUGUGGCGGCUAUGGUAGGCGUCCUUGGACCUGGCUUCAAAGGCUGAGGCAGCAUGGUCACUCAGAGAGGGACACAGAAAGGAAAGGUGCUUGCAUGGGGAGCUGGCUUCUCAAGGAAAGACUGCUCAGACCGGGCUGGGCAGGCGGUUAACCAUUUUGUAAAGUUACCUACAUUUUGGUUAAACAAUGACAAGCUUCAGAAUUAUAAACGAGUUUGGUUCCCGGCACUAGAGCACCUUAAUUUUCUAGAGUUUUCCCUCCCUGCCCUCUUGACCGCAAGUAAUGGCCGACCAUGAGAGAUGUUUAUCACCACCUGGUAUUCUUUAACUUUUCCCCCAGCCAACUGCGACAAGAUGGAAACACUGCCCUCCCCUCCCUCUCGGCCUUCUCUGCCCUGUGUAACUGCCCUCGCUUGUAAGUAGUCACUGGAUGCCGGAUGCUUUUACCCAGGCCCCCUUCUGCUGGCCUUUUCCAGAAUAAACCCUUCGUCCUUGAGUCAAGUCUCCCCACAGGCCUAAAAGGAUACACAAGAGUUGCCAACACAGAGUGGAGGAUCUUGGGAAAGCACCCCCCCCCCCCAGAUGCCACGAGAAGGAAGGGAGUUCGUGGACGCUGAGGCCUCUGUUGAAUAUAUCUAUUAAAUAUAGUCUAUUCGAUGGAUUGAGGCCCAGCCUGUUCACUUAGGUUUACACAUCAUUGUUGGCCUCUCUCGGAGAGAAAGGAGCUGUUUUGAACAGAGAGCUCACAUACCCUGGAGUACAUAGAAAUGGCUGCCCAGUGACUUCUGGGGGUGGUGGGGUUCUGCCACCUCCCUCCUGAUCUGCCCCACCAGUGCUGAGCUAGCAGGUAUGGGCCACCAUACCCGUCUCUCAUGCUGGUGCUGGAGAUCCGAACUUGGGGUCACCUUCUGCAGCGGGCACUUUCUUGACCCGACCAUCUCCCCUCAUGGCUCCUACACCCAUUCUCCAAAAAGUGUGGUUUCCUCCUCUGGUGCUGCGCUCACUGUAUGCCUGUGACUUUCUGUAAGUCAGAAAACAGUUGAAGGCCUGUGGGCGGAGCUCAGUCGCACGCAGGCAGAGUGCUUGCCAAGCAUGCUGGUCUGCUUUUAUCAACUUGACACAAACCAGAGUUCCCCGGGGAGAGGAACCCCAGUUGAGGAUUUGGCGCAGUCAAAUUCAUCGAUGGGGAUGUGUUCUUUGCUUGCUUUCGCUUACUGAAAUUUAAAACAAAACAAAACAAUUUUAUAUACAAGUGUUUUUGCUGGCUUUGUAUGUCUGUACACCACGAGGGUGCCCAAAAUGGCCAGGAGCGAGUAUCCAGUUCCCCAGAACUCGAGUUACAGGUUGUAGGCUCCCCAAACUGGGCACUAGGAACUGAACCUGGUCCUCUUCAAGAUUAGUAAUGACAUUCAACCACUAAGUACCUCUCCAGUCCCCAGUGGGGUGCAUUCUUGGUUGCUAAUUGAUGUACCCAGGCCACCAUGGGUGGUAACAUCCUGCCCUAGGCUGUGUAGAAGAGACAGAAGCCAGGAACUAGCAUUCCUCCAGAUUCCUGCUUAAGGUCCUGCCUGCAGGUUCCUGCCCUGACUUCCGGGGUGAUGGAUUGUGACCAGGUAGCCAUAAGAUGAAAUGGGUCCUUUCCUCCAUACGUUGACUGUCCUCAGUAUUUUGUCACUGUUGCAGAGAGGCCAGCCAGGAUGCUGGUAGACCUCAGGUUCUCCCCUGGCACAUGCAUUGCGGGUUUGAGGGCUCUAGCGAUGGUUGGAGACAGACACGGGG